This 67-nucleotide transfer RNA is filed under the name Cryphalus abietis. RNAcentral's name for it is "tRNA-Met". RNAcentral also lists the same sequence under 1 other name. Lineage: Eukaryota; Metazoa; Arthropoda; Insecta; Coleoptera; Curculionidae. The record is from RNAcentral.
AAAAAGAUAAGCUAAAUAAGCUAUUGGGUUCAUACCCCAUUUAUAAAGGCAGCACCUUUUCUUUUUA